CCACCCUCCAGGGGCAGCUGAUUCAAUUUAGCUAGCAAGAACAGCAGUCUUUUUGUUUCUGCUCUGAACUGCACCCAGAAAAAGGAACAGCCUGUUGCCGUCUCAUGUGGGGACAAUAGGACAAUUCUAAUUUUACUGUCUGACUUGGAAGGAGUGACCGCAUACAGGCUAAACCAUUUUACUACCAUGAUACCUAUCAUUUUGAGUGAUUGUGAAGAAACCAUAGCAAAAUGGAUAGAGAACUAGCCCAGGAGCCAAGAAUUACAGAAGACUUGCCAGUCUGAUUAGUAGAAGGAAUUUUCACAAUGGAAAACCCAACACCAAAGAAAUACCAGGUUCUGACCAAAAAUAUGUAUUUGUGAUCAGGUUAUGAGAAUGGAGGAUUGAGAAGAGUUUAUCCAUUAAAGUCUUUCUCCGGUAGGCUCUACCAAGCUGAAAAGACCUUGAGUAUGGACCUGAUAAUGAACUAUGUCCUUGUGCUCUGAGAAGUGACCUGAUGAAAUGUGGAGAGAGUGAUUCCUAGAAGACUGGCCAAAGGGCAAUCAUUAUUGCAAUCACUUUUUGUCAUAGCAGAUGGAAGACAAACACCAAUGGAAACACAGAUCCCUGAACUCCUGGAGUGUGUCACAGGAAAAUAAGGAUAAGAAAUG
RNAcentral lists this long non-coding RNA (650 nucleotides) under Phascolarctos cinereus (koala). RNAcentral's name for it is "lncRNA (ENSPCIG00000034378.1)". The record is from RNAcentral. Lineage: Eukaryota; Metazoa; Chordata; Mammalia; Diprotodontia; Phascolarctidae.